Molecule: non-coding RNA, 177 nt
Filed under: Deinococcus gobiensis
Lineage: Bacteria; Thermotogati; Deinococcota; Deinococci; Deinococcales; Deinococcaceae
Description: FMN sequence
Rfam family: FMN riboswitch aptamer (RFN element)
About the family: The RFN element is a highly conserved domain that is found frequently in the 5'-untranslated regions of prokaryotic mRNAs that encode for flavin mononucleotide (FMN) biosynthesis and transport proteins. This element is a metabolite-dependent riboswitch that directly binds FMN in the absence of proteins. In Bacillus subtilis, the riboswitch most likely controls gene expression by causing premature transcription termination within the 5' untranslated region of the ribDEAHT operon and precluding access to the ribosome-binding site of ypaA mRNA.
Source: RNAcentral
GACCUCUUUCGGGGCGGGGUGAGACUCCCCACCGGCGGUGACUCCGACAGGACAGCCCGCGAAGCCUGCUUAAAUCCAUGAACGCGCAGGCCCGAUCUGGUGAAACUCCAGAGCCGACGGUAAACCACGGACCGACCCCCAGGGGCGGCCCGCAAGUCCGGAUGGGAGAAAGGGGAA